Molecule: ribosomal RNA, 495 nt
Filed under: uncultured bacterium
Lineage: Bacteria
Description: bacterial SSU rRNA
Rfam family: Bacterial small subunit ribosomal RNA
Source: RNAcentral
GAUGAACGCUGGCGGCGUGCCUAAUACAUGCAAGUCGAACGGUACUCUUUCGGGAGUACAGUGGCGAACGGGUGAGUAAUACAUUAAGGAACCUGCCCUCGGGACCGGGAUAGCUGAUGGAAACGUCAGGUAAUAGCGGACUGUGAGUCAUUAUGGCAUCAUGAUGACUUGAAAGGAUGCAGCAAUGCAUCGCGCGGGGAUGGCCUUAUGGCGCAUUAGCCAGUUGGCGGGGUAACGGCCCACCAAAGCGAUGAUGCGUAGCCGAUCUGAGAGGACGACCGGCCACAUUGGGACUGAGACACGGCCCAGGACUCCUACGGGAGGCAGCAGUAGGGAAUUUUCGGCAAUGGGCGCAAGCCUGACCGAGCAACGCCGCGUGAGUGUUAAGGCCUUCGGGUUGUAAAGCUCUGUUGCCGGGGACGAACGGUACUUAUAGGAAAUGAUAAGUAAGUGACGGUACCCGGCGGAGAAAGCCACGGCUAACUACGUGCCACG